ACUCUACUCAGCAGGGAUUAGGCACACAACCACACAACCACACACACAAACACACACACACACUAACACAAGCCAAAUACCCUCUAUCCUAAGCCUCACUGAGAGGUUGUAGCGAUAGAAGCAGCGGGAGAGCGGGGACUGUUUUUUUUAUAAAAGUACCGUUUAUAAAGAAAAAGAGAGAGCGAGCAGUGGAACCUUGUUCUACAGAGGCGAUGUGAUCGAUCCUCGAGAUCGUGGUAAAAGGAAGGAAAAGAAAUCCUGGGAAUACCUAGGAACCCAGGGACUGAGGAUGUUGUCAUCACUGUUCACUGUGCUGCGGACCUUCACUGAACUGUAAGAA
This 340-nucleotide long non-coding RNA is filed under the name Sparus aurata (gilthead seabream). RNAcentral's name for it is "lncRNA (ENSSAUG00010021520.1)". Lineage: Eukaryota; Metazoa; Chordata; Actinopteri; Spariformes; Sparidae. The record is from RNAcentral.